Molecule: long non-coding RNA, 2237 nt
Organism: Sarcophilus harrisii (Tasmanian devil)
Lineage: Eukaryota; Metazoa; Chordata; Mammalia; Dasyuromorphia; Dasyuridae
Source: Ensembl
UGACAGAUCACCAUAGCAAAAGCAGCAGGAGCAAAGACACUCAGCAACAUGGUGGUUGGAACAUCUAGCACCAGAAUUUCAUACCAGAGAGCAGCAAGGUAAGCAGAACAGAAAGCAGUGAGAAAGGACCCCAGAUGAGGGACUCAAGGACAUUCAUCUUGGGCUCUGCAGCAAUCAAAAACUCUUGUCAUAUUCCUGCUUCCUUGGCAAAUAAACACAAGAGCAAGACCAAAAAGUGCCAGAUACUAGGACACCCACCAAAAUCAGCUCACUCCAUCCUGAUCCUCUAGCAGAUUAUCAUGUUUCUGGCCAGUCAAUGAGAAGAAAUAAUUGAAGACUGAAGCAAACUAAAAAUAAGUGAAUAAAUGAUAAUGAAAAAGAGCAAACAGAUUAUUAAAUAAAAAAGUAACGAUUAUGAAGAUAAAUCUAACUUCUGGCUAAGCCCUAUCAAAAAAAAAAGAUGAGGAAACUGAGGCAAAGUAUUAAAUAACUUGCUCAUACAACUAACCUCUGAUUUUAAUACCACAGCAGACUCCUGGGGAAAUUCUCUGGGGAAAACAAUCAGCAACUGUUCUGCAACUUCGGGACUACAUUGAAUUACUCAAUGGCUUGCCCAGGAUCAUACAGACAAAUGUUAAUAUUCCCAAACUUAUCUAUAGUUUGUGUUCUCUCCUGUAUCAUUGAUAUUCUAAUCAUUUCUCCAUCUUGUAACCCAAAAGAAUUACUCAUUCACUUGUGGAGUAAAUAAGCACUUUAAAACAGGAAAAGAGAAAUUACAAUGUGGGUUUUUAAAUUUCUGAGUGGCACUCUGAUCCUGGUAAGGAUUGAAAUCUCAAUUUUCCCCCAGUGCUCUUCUGAUCAAAUAUACACUGUCAUGUUCAAAUCCUUUUAUUUAUUUUUGGGGGGAGGAGGCUAGAGAAAUACAGAAUGGAAACGAUUCAUCAUAACUCCACAUUCAAAAUCUCAUAGAGAAAGGAAGAAAUAAUAUUAGUAUCAUCCAGAUUCAGAUCAUCUAAACUAGAUGAAGGUCCUUGCUUCUAUCUCUAGUAGUAAUUACUUUCAUUCCAAAUCAGAAGUUAAGUCUAUCACCAAACACAAGUUACUUAGGGAAUGUAUUCUGGAUGGUCUCAUAUCUUUUCUCUCAGAUCUACAACAUUUUUCUUUGCCAUUCCCACUAGCCAAGCUUCUUAGAGAACACCAAGAACUUAAAAGUUGGUAGUUCUACAUCCAGCCAUUCUGGAGAGCAAUUUGGAACUAUGCUCAAAAAGUUAUCAAACUCUGCAUACCCUUUGAUCCAGCAGUGUUUCUACUGGGCUUAUACCCCAAAGAGAUACCAAAGAAGGGAAAGGGACCUGUAUGUGCACGAAUGUUUGUGGCAGCCCUCUUUGUAGUGGCUAGAAGCUGGAAAAUGAAUGAAUGCCCAUCAAUUGGAGAAUGGUUGGGUAAAUUGUGGUAUAUGAAUGUUAUAGAAUAUUAUUGUUCUGUAAGACAUGACCAGCAGAAUGAAUACAGAGAGGAUUGGAGAGACUUACAUGAACUGAUGCUAAGUGAAAUGAGCUGAACCAGGAGAUCAUUAUAUACUUCAACAACGAUACUGUAUGAAGAUGUAUUCUGAUGGAAGUGGAUUUCUUUGACAGAGACCUAAAGGUUUCAAUUGAUCAAGGAUGGACAGAAGCAGCUACACCCAAAGAAAGAACACUGGAAAAUGAAUGUAAACUGUUUGCAUUUUUGUUUCUCUUCCCGGGUUAUUUCUACCGUCUGAAUCCAAUUCUCUCUGUGCAACAAGAGAACUGUUCGGUUCUGCACACAUAUAUUGUAUCUAGGAUAUACUGUAACCUCUUUAACAUAUAUAGGACUGCUUGCCAUCUGGGGGAGGGGAUAGAAGGAGGGAGGGGAAAAAUCGGAACAGAAGUGAGUGCAAGGGAUAAUGUUGUAAAAAAUUACCCUGGCAUGGGUUCUGUCAAUAAAAAGUUAUUAAAUUAAAAAAAAAAAAGUUGGUACUUCUGACCCAUGAACGCCUUAAGAAAGGAAAAUCUGCAUAGAUCAGGAGUUUUUAAUUUGCAGCAAAUUAAUUAUUUUUUUUUCAUUUUGAUAACUGUAUUUCAAUAUAAUUGUUUUCUUCUGUAACAUGAUACAUUUUAUUUUAUGCGUUUAAAAACAUUUUUAUCUUUAUAAGAUUGUAAAAGGGAUCAAUGAAACAAAUAAAACAAAUUGAAAAUCCUUGUCAUAGAUACACA